AAAACCACCACCAAACACCAAACCGGCGAAAUGACCCCACCCCUUUUGCAACAACCUAUUGGGCACACUUUAAUUUAGACAUUGUUUGUGUACACACAAACACACACUCACACACACCUCAGUAGAUUUUGAAUUAUCAGCAUAUAGAUGACAGGGUGCCAACGUGUGGCAGCGGAAGCGUCACCGUAAGUCUGUACGUCAUGAUAGGGGCCCUGAGAAUACACCAAUCCCUCCAAUAUUUCACCCUCUCUCCCUCUUUCUUCCUUUUCUUCCUACCGUCUCGUUUCAUUCUCUCUCCCUCUCUCUCUCUCUCUCUCUCUCUCUCUCUCUCUCUCACACACACACACACAGCAGUUGUAACACCGCUUUGAAAAUAUCUGACUGCCCCAUCAUUCAGUAACACCACUCACUGUCCAUAAUAAAGGUUGUAAUAACUACAGGCAAAUGACAAAUAACUGUACAGAGCCCAGCAAGGGAGUUUCUCUCCAUCCCUUUUCUCUCUCUUCUUUUUCUUAUCCUCCAUCUCUUUCUCUUUCUGUGUGUGUACGUGUGUGUGUGUGUGUGUAAAUAUAUUAGCCACAGUAGCCUAUACGAGACGUGGCCUCAACGUGUCUAAAGACCGUCCACGACUUACAUAACUCGUGGCUACGAGUGUUUUGUUUCUAGUGGGAUCAACUUCAAAAAAACGUGGCUAUCAUUUAACCCUGCUUUGCCACCAAGUUUAAAAAGGAAAAAAAAAGUGACCCCGACAUAUCAGGUAACGUGUUUGUUUUGAACAGGGGUCUCCCUCUGCUUUUGGUGCCCAAUUGUCUUUUUUCUGACAUAAGACUUCAACAACGUCACUCCCUAAGCUCAGCCUAAAUAAUACGUAGCCCCCAAUUUCAUUACAACUGGAGAGCCACCUGUCGCCUAUAUUGUAACACGCGCGCUCAGGUCUGACUUCACUUUUGCAAAGAGCCAGUACUAACCCUCCAGAUCCGGAGAAUUCUGCCCAGUGUAUGACGUAGGCUUUUGUAUCAGCCGUUGGGUUGAGUUCAGUCAGAUGGGUGAUGCGUGAUAAAGGCCUCCAAUAAACCGAGUUCGACUUUGAUUCAUUAAUGGUUUGCAUAUAAGCUACGUACUUACGUCAUCCGCACCAGUUGGUCAUUGAAAGAAAUAGAGGGAGGGAGUCCUGAGCAAGCCAAGGCAAGUGAUUCCCUUAAUAGGCCUAUACGUUUGAGUAAACCCGGCCAACUGGUAACAGCUUAUAGACUUUUGAACAAACCAUUUAAUUUAUAAAGCCUACAUAUUUAAAUACAAAUUAUGUCAGUUAACGUCAUCAAAAUGGGAAACACCAGAAAUGGCCUGAACGACCGAAGAGUCUCCCGCAAAAAAACGGAUCACCACUGCUUCAGUCGAAUUAGUUCACUCGCUGUCUGGACUCACAAUAAACAUGAGCUGAUCACGACUGUAACUAAUUGAAUAAGAACACAGAGAAAUAAAGACAAAGAAAUCAGGCUUAUAUGGUUUGACUGGGUUUAACAAUCGAAAUAAUUGUUCGAUUCAAAUCGAUUUCCAUAAAAAUGGUCUGAUAAUAAUUCACAAAAACCCAAGAUUGAUCUUUGGAUCUGAACUAUUUGGCCUAAAGCAAUGCAAUAAGGAUAAUAAAUACAUAUAGCUUACUUUGAUUCAUUCUUCAUUGUUAAUAAUAGUAUUAGUAAUAAGUAAACACUAAUUAUUUUAAUAAUGGUAUAGGUCGAGCCUUUCUUGCCGAAAUACAGCAUUAGUUCUCUUCAGAUCUCUUUUCAUAUCCAAACCUGCUAUUGCAAGUGAAACAUCUCUAAAUGAAUUAUUAUCAAAUUGAAUCUGAAAUCAAAUUGAAUUGGAACCUGGUGAAUGAUUUGAAAUCAGAUCGAUUCUGGAAGUCUGUGGUGAUACCCUGCCCUAGCUUACAUGUCGAGGACCAACCCCUCUCUUUUGUGAAUAGGGAGUCUCCAUCAGAGAGAAAAUCAAUGACGUCAAAACUUCUCCGACUCCAGACAACGCAUCUGCGUGUGUACUGUGUGCUGUAAAAUACCAGACACGCUGCGUCACCAGCAUCCUUAACUGGUUUAAAUAUGUAAUAAACAAAAUCAAAUAAAUCGUUUUAAUUUAAUAUGGUUUAAACAGAAUAUAGCCUAAACCGUUUUAAUACGGUUUAACUGGGCCUACAUUCUUCACAGAUGUGCAGACCGCAGUGGUGCUGCUGUGGUUGACUUACGAGGCCGCGUAUAGGCUCGCUUAUACCUUUCUCGCAUUACGUCAUAAGGCUUCGUGUAGGGUAAAGUGCUGUUGUCAUUAGUACAGGGGUACUUUUGCGUGGUCUUAUGUGACGGAGCAGAAAAGUUCUUCAGCUCUUCAUUCCGUCCUCAAUGUCUCUCUCUCUCUGGGUCCUUGACACUGAACACGAUUAUGUCAUCUGAAAAAAUGGAAUAAAAAGAAAAUAAAGUACAUAAUAAAACGUCUGUUUUAAUAAUAAAACUGCAACAAAUCUGUAUAAUUUCAUAUAAGCGCCGUUAGGCUUGGUUGCGCAGGGUCCGGCUGACCCUCCAGAGCUAAAAAUAGAACAGACCAUUCGUCGAACGAGGCAGACGAUAAUAUGUGCUGCACAAAAAAACAAUAACACAUUUCAGAGCUGAUAACAAACAGAAGAAGAAUGUUUUAUUUCUUUUUUUGGUAGUCGAACUACCAAAGAUCUGAGUCACCCAAAAGCAGCCCUGAGUUAAUGGCCCCGCGCGUGCUGAGCUGUGUGUGACAAAGCGAGAGUAUGUGAAGAACCACACACACAAACACACAUACACACGGACUGUAAAGCACUGUGUAAUGUUAGCACACACACGAACACACAGGAUCCUGCAUGUAUGUGCAUGUCGAGAUGUGGAAAAUUGUUUGUGUGAGUGUAAUGCGUGCUUGUAUGUGUGAUACUUGUGAUUCGUGACUUUGUGAAGUAGGCUCCUAAAGUUGGUGGUCUCACUCCCCUCUUUCCUUCUGCAUUAAAACAUCCACUAGUGCCAUCAUUGUGUGUUUCCAAAUAUUCAUUCAUGGACAUGAUUUAUAAGGGUCUCUCAUUCAUGCAGUUGGUGAUACUGCAGAACAACCCCCUCAUUCCCAGCAUUCACACUCUCUCUCACACACAAACACACCUUUCACUCAUUCACUAAGGGAUAUAUAAAGCUGUGAUCUGUCUAUUUUGGCUUCUUUUGCAGUGUAAAUUGGACAGGAACCUUGGAGAAGUGAGAAAGAAGUUUCUUCACUGCCAUUGAAAGAUGCUGUUAGAUCUCAGGCCUCACUCAUUCAGCGCUUUGCUCAUGAUGCCCCAUCCACUUCAUUCACAACUGCCACUAUGGACAGAUCGUGGGGCCUGAGGAAAAGCACCUGUUUUUCUACUCCAGUCAAUGGUAUGGUGGCCUUCAACAUUUUAACGGUUCUUUACAAAGCUUGUGUGACUUUAUUUUACUUCUGGUUUUGAUUUGUAAGAUGUAUUUACAGUACUCUGAACAGCAAAUGCAGAAAUUUAUUAUUUAUUUUUCAUAUUUCUUCACUUUAACUUUGGUGCAGUGACAGCAAUUCAUAUAUUGAUCGGGUUACUUGGUGAUUCAUUAUUAACUAAAAGAAAGGACACUUGUUAAUUUGUCCUUGUUACAUUUCCUUUUAUUACUGAACUGAUAGUUUUUUGUUUAUUGUGUUUUAUAGCAUUUUAUUUGUUUUACAUCAAUUUAUACCAUCAAACAUUUACAGAAACAUCAGGCAUUUCAUUAUCUCUUUAAGACAGGCGAUUAUUACCCGUUAUUUUAGGCAAAAGACUGUUUUACUUUUUCAUUAUCUGUCCUGAGACAGUUUCAUCUGCCAUGCCUGGACAGAUGACUGAUGGAACUGCAUAAGAUGUGAGAGAGUUGAGGUUGCACUUUGAGGAACUUUCAUCUUUCUUUUGUUGCUGUCUGAACUCUUAUUGCUGUUUACAGAAAUGAUGAUGACUUACUGUAGGAUAGCAGAUUGUUCCCUACAAGCUUGAGCAUAUGACUCAGGGAAGGUGUGAGGGAUGAGUCAGAAUCAGGCGGGGUCUAAGGAGGGAGGGGGUACUCUGCUACCUGUUAGGGGGUCCUGUGACGUGACGGGAUCAGGUGAACCAGACCAAGACAAUCUAAACACUCAUCAAACACAAUAAUAUUGCUGAUAAUGGUAACACUAACAACACACGGAAGCCAUUUUAGAGGAUCACAUAUCAGCCAUUUGUUGUGUUCAGUCCACUGCCAAAACAGUGUUACUGCACCUAUUAAAUUUCAUUUUCUAUUUUUCCAUGCUGAUAUUUUUUAUAAAACACGCCUUCCUGUUUCUAUUAUUAUUAUUUUUAAACUAUUUAAAUAAUACAAAAUAAAUAUUUUGAGUUGUGACAAGUUUUAGCUAGACUUCAAAAGCAAACCAGCAAGGGUCAUACUUGAUAACUUGAAAAUAAAUUAAGAAAUGAGAAUAAAAUAAAUUAAAUUAAAAAUAUAUAUUUUCUAUUAUUAAUUUUAAUGACUGAUGGUCAUGUUUCAGUAACAUUCUUAUUGUAUAAAUGACUGAAUGAGCUAAGAACACUUGGACAUUUUGGCACUAAUCAAUAAUGUUUAUCCACACAACUAUUUAAUUUCCACGUAUUCUUAUUAUAUAGGACAUAAACAUAAUAUACAUAUGUUAAUAUUAAUAACAAGUCUUUAAAUAUUUGGAAAAAAGGAAAUCUCAUUUCUUUUCAUAUACCGUACAUGGAACAUAAAACAGGACACAGCCCUACGCACAACUUUUUUUUUUAUUACUAAUUCUGAAACAAAGUUGUCGGUGAUGCAUUCAUUUAUCACAUUAUAUCAUAAUCAACUCAUUUACACAAUCAGAGCUGCUGCAGAGUGGCAGAAGCAGACAAACAUGUAAUGUGAUAGUGCUGCAUGCACAAAAUUCAGCAGAGACCUUAAGACUAAACUACUACUUAUUAAAGUUAAUCAGUUUAACAUACACAAACAUUUGUAUGUUAUACUAUAAAAGGGUAAUAAAAAUGUUAAUGAAAUACAUGGCCACUAAUCAGUCUUGUAUUUUAAAUCUCAGUAUGGCUUGAGAUUCAGAGUAACAACAAUUGAUAUUUGUUUGAUUUUAUAUAAUUAAAAAAACUGUUUGUGCAUUUAUUAAUGAGUGUUUUUAUAUUGCAGGGCAUUUGUGAAUGAGAAGAGGUCCAGACCGGAGCAGAAUGGGUUCAGUACCAUGCCGUGUUUCUUCAGAAAGAGGAGAGACAGGCAGUGAAAGGAUAGGGGCAUGUGCUUAUAUUCAGAAUAAAGUGGAUGAAUCAGUGAUCCCAGUUAUCACAGUUCGGUAUCACCACCCGCCCAUUUAGCACAAGCUUAAAAAAAAUAGAGGAUGCUUUAAAACAAAGUAAAACAGACAGUAUUUUGGUUACAACCAAACAGUCUAUGCCUUUUUUUUUUAUGCCUUUUAAAGACUAAUGUCGUUUAUUUUAAACAGACAGGACUCCCACAUUAGCAUGCCUUUUAUAAACAGUAAACACAAUUCACUGAGCUUCUAAAUGACAUAUUCCUUAUUAGCAUGUUCCUGCUUAAGUUAGUUAUACAGGAACCUCAGUAUUUUUAUUAGUGUUGAAUUGGUCCAGAAGUACAAUUUUAUACAUGAGAGGGCAUUCUGAAUAGAGGACACAAAGGAAUGAUAACACAAAAUCAUAGAAAGACAAGACAAUUCCUCAUGUUCAAUUAGAUAAUGUCUCAGUUCUAAAAAAAAUAUGAGACGUUAUUAUGUCAUCUAUAAUAUAUCUCUAUAUUUAUAUAUAUAUAUAAUGUUUAUAUAAUCUAUAUACAUUCUAAUUUCCAACUUCUGAUCUGUAUAAUCUGAGACCUUUGAGUUUAGAAGAAUAAUCAUACAUUUUGAAUCAUUCCAAAAGUUACUAAUUUCAGGUAAAACUCUGUAAUAGAGAAUGUGAUAUUACAAUUCACAGAAAGUAGAAAAAUACUUGUAUGAUAAAAAGGCCUCUAAAAGCCCUGUACCUCCAUAGAGAGUAGGAGUCUCGGUAGGAGAAUAGAAACACAAAAGGAAUAAAAAAAAAGAAAGAAUCAGUUACUUCUGUCUCAUCUCAUUUAAUAUAGAGUUAAGAAUACUUUUAAACAAUAUGACAUAUUGUAUGUGUUAAAUGAGUCUCCAAAAAAAAUCUAAGUAAAUAAGCAAUCGUCCAAAUGCUCCCCUAAAAUAAGUGGUACAGCAAAGGGAUGUGUUAAAUGAGUUUAUGUAGAAGUAUAAGCCGAUUCUUAGUACAAGGCCAGCAUACUUUGCACAACAGUAAGGCCAGUGCAAAUAUAUUCAAUAUAUUCAAAGUGUCAGUUUGCUUGUAAAAUAAUUCAAUUAAACAGACCACUGACUUUGUAAAUCAGAGGCAAUGCUAUAGUAGUAGCAGUAAGUAUAUAUGUAAUAUUUGUAUACUAUAAAAAAAACUUUAUUUUUUACAGAAAAUAUAAAGCUGUGACAUACAUUUCAGAGUCACGCUUAAUCAUUCUGAAUGAGUUUAUUGAGACAGUAAUUGAGAAGGUUUUGCGAAGAUGGUCUGACUGUACUAUUACAGAUAUUGUUGAGAUAUACCCAUUAGAGAUAUAGAGAGAAUAACCAAAAUUGAACAGCCAUUCCAGUGUGAGUGUGUGUGUGGGUUUGUGUGUGAGUAUAAUGUACUGUAUGUUACUGAGUGAUUUUAUGUGAGAUGGACUGAAUAGUGACAUAAGCAUGUGUCCCUGUCCCUGUACACAGAAUGUGUGUGUGUGUAUAUAUGUGUGUGUGUGCGUGUGUGUGUGUAUACACACACACACGCACACACACGCACACACGGCUUGUAUUUGUACAUUAGACUAGAUUUGAUUGUUCUUUUGCAUUUUCCUUUAAUGUGAAUAUGAGAGAGUAUGUGAUAAAGUUGAACCUCGCUAUAUGAAAAAUUAAUUUAUACGAGUGUAUGCCCAUAUACACAGGUAUAUGUGCAUGUCUGUCUUUCUGUCUGUCAGUACAUGUAUAUGUAAAGUAAUAUACAUAUAUCUGCAUGAAAUAUAUCUAUAAGUCUAUGUGUUUAUUGUCACUGUUAUGCGAAAAAAUCACAUAUCCCUAACACUUUACAAUACAGUAACAUUGCAGUACAAGAAAAAAAGAACUUCUUGACUGCUAAUUAAAUUUAAUAUUAAAAUAUUUUUUUCUAUUUAAGUCAGGUAAUUUUGGAACAUUUUAUUUAGUUUAUUCAUAACAAAUUGCUUACACAAUGUAAAGAAGCAGAUUCAUUUUAUGACAGAAAGUAAAAAAAGGAGAUAGAAGUUUUUUGUUAAAGUGACAAUAAAUACACGUAUCUGUAUAUGUGUUUAAGUGUAUGUGUGUGUUAUGGACGUAUCACAGACAGACUAUGAGGCACCCAGUUUUAGCACAAGUGUAUCAGAUGGAGGGAUGUCUAUUUGAAGUAAAAAUAAUUACAGGAGGCAGUGUGAUGCAUUAUAAUCAUCUAAAGCACUUCAGCACAACAUUUCGAUUUUGUAACCAUUAAAUUUAAUUUUAAACUAUGCUGAAAAGAUGGGAAAUUGAGGAAGAUCAGGAACACCUCUGAUUACAAUGUCAGGUUCACUGUCUUCAUUUAAAAAUGCACAGUUAUUUAGUCAGUACUGGAAAGACAUAGAAGGUGAACAGUGCAGAGAGCAUAAUCUUUCUAUUAUAAAGGUUUAAGGAAUCAUAUGAGAUUAAGGCACUUUUUAGGAACAGUUACUUUAAAAAAAAGAAUUACUUUUUUGUGGGAUUCCCUGAAAUAUAUUAAUGAAAAAAUGCCAAAAUAUCCCACUGUUAAAACAAAAUGAUAGAGGACAGAUGUGUCUAGAAAUUAAUAUAUGGAUAUGGAAGUAUAGGUUUUAUAGUAUAAUUUAUUUAUUCUACAAACAUUAGUUCUAAGCACUUCUGAAACUUUUGCAGGUAAUUCAAAAGUUGCAGGUAAAUGUAUAUCAGUAACUGUUGAAUAUGCACAUAUUUUAGUCUAGUACAUUAGUGAUUAUUUGAAAUAUAAAUACAUUCGUUCUCUUUGACCACUCUGAGAACGAGAGACAGAGAGAGAGUGUGUAUGAGACAGUGAGAGAGGGGGGGAAAAGAACGAGACGGGGAAACGUAGUGACACACACACAUUUGUGUAUAUUAUGUGUUUACGUCUGAUGUGUGGGGAUGUGUGUGGUGUGUAUAUUUAGGCCGUGUGUUUGUGUUUGUGUAUGAUUUUUUGUCAAUUUGUCAGCCAGUUUAUUUUUGUGACGCAGCACACUUUCAAGACGUAUGAUGCAUUUUUUAAUAGAAAGGGCAAGAAAACGUAAGACUUUUUUUUGAAGCAGAACCAAACUUUGAUUUGUUCAUAAUACAAUAUAACUAUGAUUAUUAUGUAUUAGGCAAAAAUAUAGUUUUGCAGUAUAUCACCUCUUUUAUGUCUUUUUUUCCUGAGGGAUCAGUGAGGCUAGUGAAAUGCCUAGACCCUGGAUUUAGUUAAGCUAACUAUAUAGAAACUGAUUCAUAUUUGUAUGUGUAUUUGAUUGUUUUUCAGGUUAAGGUUUUUACUGCACAGCUGUAGAUCAGUUUUAUAAAAAAAAUGUUUCAGUAAAAAGAGAUUAUUCAGACAUUUAACAAACAAACACCUAAAUUCUGUUUGUAAAAAGCAUAUAGUGGUGAGAUAUUCAUUAGAAUAUAAUGAUAAGUCUGUACAAUAUGAUGUUUAACAUUGAUUGCACACUAUCACCACACAUUUAGCAUGUUUCUUAGUAAAAAGCUCUGUUUAUAGUAAAGCCUCAAAAACAUAAAUAUAUACUCUGAAUGAAAUGAAUGAAUGAAUGAGUAUUUUAUUGUAGUAUUAUAUGUGAUAAAUUGGGAUGCUCAAGAGUGCUAAAAGCAGUGUAGCUAGCAGUUUAAUUCACGUUGUCCAACUGCUCUGUGUGUGUGUGUCAGAGAGACAGAGUGAGUUAAGGGGGUAACGGGAGCUAAGAGGGAUGGUGAAAAGAAUAUAUCUCUCUAUAUAUAAUAUAUAUAUAAUUAUGUCUCUAUAUAUAAUUGUAUAAUAAUAUAUAUAAUUGUGUGCAAUAUUUUACAUGUGUAAAUAUAUGUACAAGCAUUUGUGUGUUUAUAUGUAAAAAAAAAGUUUUAAUGAUUUAAUUCCUUUAAAUUCAUUUGUGCAUUCUAAAUUAGGCUCAAUCUUACAUUUCCUGUAAUUUACAACUUCAUAUCAUAAGCAAAAAUAUAUUUUUCCAGCACACUCUUUUCCAGCUCUGAGCACAGAUACGUUAUGUCACUCUGCUGAGUCUCUCUACUCUGCUACGUCUGUACAGAUGAACAGACACCACUGCAACAGGAAAAUAAAAAUAAUACAGUGAAAAAAAUCUGUAUUUAAAACUAACAUUUAUAUUUUAAAAAUCAUAUCUCUCCUCAUUAAACUGAAAUGUGUAAGCAUGUGAGGUUAUGAAAGAUAUGUAAUACAGUUCUUCCUACGUUUGCUGUGAGAAUGUAAUAUAAGUGAAUGGGCAUAUGAAUAUAUAAUCUAGGCAUUCUAUUCAUAUCAUAAUAAGAUAACUGACAGUCUUAUAUGUUGUUUUUAUUACAGAUAAUAUGUAUGGAAAUCCCCAAAUGUCUGCAAGGACCUCGGAUUCCUCUAGAUUGUCUCUGUUCUUUAUCAAAAAAGGAUAUUUUACUACCACAAUAAUCCAGGAGCGGGACAGUAAGAUUGCUCGUCCUGAUCGUGGCUCCUGUGGUCCUCUAUGUGUAUAGAGCUGAAAAUGGUUAAUAUAAGCAGAAGAACUACAUGGGGAACUGGCGCAGGUGAAUCUGGACACGUUCAGGGAUAUUUAUGUAUGUGUGUUCUGGACGUAUGUCGAGCAGAGGAUUAAAAGAGGAGCAAUUUGUCAGGUAUUUAAAGUUUAAAGCUCUUGUUGAGGGCGUGUGUUUGAGGCUGUUAGAAUACGUUAUGAACGCUGUCAUUUUCUUAUCAUUCAUGACGUUGUUUCUUGGCACUGUGAGAAAUAAACAUAUAUCGAAACAAAUGAAAAAUAAAGCUUAAUUUAAUUAAGACACUGGCGAGUGUGUUAACCUGUGUGCUAGCGUUGAUGAAUUCAGUCUGCUGAUUUUGAAUGGCUUGGUCACGACAGCAUGUGCGCUUCAGUGCACUUUAUGUAACAUAUGUUAAAAGGCAGGAUCAGGUAGAGAAAAACACAAUGCUGGUAUGUAUAGUUUUAACCAUUUUAUUAUAGGACAGAUAAGUGCUGUGUGUGUGUGGAAAGUUUUAAACAGACGUGUCAGGACGGUGCGUAAAGACGGUGCGUCUCAGUGGCUCCGUGAUCAUAACGUCACGACUGAAUUUGGAGAUGCGUUUAAAGAUAUUAUAACCUGUACUAUAUAUAUAAUAACUGCACAGAGGCUUGUUGUAAUUAUAUAAACGGUCUUUGGUGGACGUUGCUGUUUGUUGGAGGACUAGUGAGCAGUGUGUGACUGAGAGCCAUGCUGUUUAUUGGGGUGAGGAGUGUCGCUGUCCACUGUGCCUGGUGCUGAUGUGCGCGCACUCCAAGAGCCAGCUGCCACUCAGUAAGGCUCCUUACACACACAUUUAAUUACACGUAUAAUCUAUAUAGACUAUAUUUCAAUUAAAGAAAAUGUACAGUUAUUAGAAAGGUUAUCAGUGGCUGUUUUGAUUGGAAAAAAUGCACAUUUUAAUACAGUUGAUUUGUGAUGAUUGCGCCAACAUGCUUGAACACGUUUUUUUAUAAAGUCUAAAAACAGAUAAAGAACCAGAAACCAGUGACAACAAUGAGGCAACAUGUGAAUAUGUCGAUACUUUAAGGGGAGGGAAAUAUAGGAAAGUGCACGUAGCGUUUCGAUGGACUUCCCCCAACUAUAGCCUAUUGAUGUGAAUGAUAUUAUUUUGCAUUAAAAUAACACGAGACGCACCGUGGAACAAAGCCACGUCUGAACGUCUGAGCACACACACACGCUGUAUUCCAAACCACAGACAGUAGAUAUAAGCACCAAUGUUCGACAAAAAAAUGUAAAUGUCUGUAUAACAAUGUAUGUAAAAAAUAUAUAAAUCCUAAUAUAUAUUGUUUAUGUCCAAAUUGUGUAUUUAUGCUUACAUGAGCUAAUUAACAUGUUUAUCUGGUGGGAUAGAAAAGCUAAGGUGUAAAAAACACUGGUUUUAAAGGGGAAUUAAUUACUGUAACUGCGUUUGUGCUGCUUAUAUGUGUAAAACAGAUACAUUUUUAACACAAAUAAAAACGAAACAUUUAAAUGCUUGUGUCAAAAUUGUUUAAGCUGCUGAAUAAAGUUUACAUUUGCUUUAGUGCCUGUACUACAAAUCUGACGUGUGAACAUAUUAUGUGAUGUGGUUAUGUAUUUAGUCAUUGUGUUAUUUUGAUAGUGAGGUGACCUGGUCAUUCUUUAUUUUAAACAUUUAAGCGUUUAUGAUUGUUUUUUUUAUUAUUACUAAAACAUUUCUGACUAAAUAAAAAAACAGAUAUUAUUUAUAUUCAGUCCUGAGUCGUGUUUUUUUAUUUGUGUCCCACGUGAAUUAUGGUAUUAAACCAGUUUUCUGGGUGUGCUGUUAUUUAACAUGAAGGAUUUCAGCUCAAACGUCUUUUUGUUUGCAAUAAAAGUGUAAAAAGUGUCUAAAAAGAAAACAAUAGGCAGAGUUGGGGCAAAAUGUGAGAGUUUGAGAGGCUGGGGGAUCACUGUGAUAAUAAAAUACUCGAUAUUACUGCUAAUACGUU
Molecule: long non-coding RNA, 11783 nt
Organism: Astyanax mexicanus (Mexican tetra)
Lineage: Eukaryota; Metazoa; Chordata; Actinopteri; Characiformes; Acestrorhamphidae
Exons: 4
Source: RefSeq, a predicted model, not a curated record